Long non-coding RNA from Gopherus evgoodei (Goodes thornscrub tortoise), 2623 nucleotides. RefSeq lists it as uncharacterized. The transcript is spliced from 4 exons. The record is from RefSeq and is a predicted model, not a curated record. NCBI's taxonomy places the organism in Eukaryota, Metazoa, Chordata, Testudines, Testudinidae.
CCGGGACUCGCCGAAGUCUGGAAGGGGAGCUCGGACCUGCCUCGGCCGCGCGGGACAGGCUGGGCAGAGAUAAAAGAGCACAAGAUUAUUUCUGUUUAAUAUGUGGGCAGUGCUCAGAGAAUAUGGUGAUGGGGGGCGACAGAAGUACCUGGAUGAAUGGCUGGAUAGACAAUUGUGUUCCAGUGGGUGAACGGACUCUGAGUUGAUGAAAAUUGGCACUGAAGUCAAGACAGCUAUGAAAAUUUACUCCACCUGAGGACUGCUGGAAGGAAUGGCUGGGGGCUAUCCAUGUUCUACCAUUGAUUCACUGCAUGAUCUGAAAUUGCCGGGGAGUUUAUAAAAAAAGAGAAGUAGCAGAAACAUUCUUUGGGACAAGAAUUUGAAUUGUUUAUUUUCCAGUACAAAGGCUUGGGAUUUUUUGUGAGGCCAGAGAGCAUGAGCUUUUUGAUGAAGAGAUUGGCCAUGCAUUUUGGUACUAGGGUAUCUUCUCUCAGGGACCACUCAGAUGGAGAGAACAAGUAUGAGCAUGUCCAUGGAGAUUACAUUGUUUUAUUCAUGUAAACAAGACAAACAUAUUAGUCAUGAUAAUAAAGGAGGGGAUGAUGGCAUAGAGCAAUGUUUUUCUCUCCUGCAAGAACAGGAGAGAAGAAUUUUGGCAGUAGUUGGGUAUUAAAGCACAUAUAAUCAAUCCAUUCUCCUGGGCAGUCUCAGCAUUAUGAAACAUCAUCAUUAGUCUUCUUGGGUCGAACAAAUGUAUGUUACAAAACAAGGCCCACAGUCCUGCAACUUUUACAUACUGCUGCCCUUAAGUGGAAGUGAAGGCACAGAAUGAACAAGUUGUGUGGAAAAAGUUGCAGGAUUGGUGACUAAGAGGAUAACCAAGCAUGUUUUAUAGAAGGAGCUAAAAUAAAAAUGUAUCUAUCUAGAAUUAAAUAGUGUGUGAUGUAGUUAUCUUUAAACUUUGGACUGUGCAUGUGUACUACAGAAUAGGCUGCCACAUUGUAGGACUUGUGCUCAUUUGGAAGAAUAUUUAUAUGCAGGAUAUUCCAAGGACUUGCACAUACUCAGCUUCUAUUGGUUCAUGGUUGAUUGGGAGUAAUUAUGUGGUCUUAAGAAGUAUCAGUGGUCAGCCAUAAAGUUCAAUUAUGUUGACAUGGGAGAUCAAUAACAGGAGUCUGAAGCAAUUGUAAGACCCAGGAUUCAAAAGUUGGUUGGCUAAAAAUGACCAUUUGAUUAAUCAGUCCUAGACUUCAACUAUAAUAUGACCUCAAAGAUCAAUAACUGGUGCAAUUCUUCACAUCAAAGCACUAUUUAAUCAAUUGGUUAUGCCACUAACCUAAGCUAUGUUACUCUCUUCAUCUCUAGAGCACAUAUAAUGCAAUAUGCCUCAGUAUGAAAGUGCUCAAAUUGGUAGAUUAAGAUCCACUACCUACUGUAUGGCAUACUUUACUUUCUACCAGUAUCAGAAGAAUAUUGUUAAAUCUGUCAUUAUUAAUUUCUGUAAUAGACUGCAGCUACCAGCACACACUGAGUUCUGUUUUAGUUCAACACAAGACAGAGUCCCUCAAAGUAAAUAUUAAUCAGGAUCAAUAAAUCUUGUCACUGAUCUCAACAGAAGCCAAUAUCUGAUAUGACACUCUGGCCUCCCUAUUACCUUUGCCCCCCUCCCAAGUGGAUUUUUCCUUUCUCCUUUCCCAUAUUAGAUGUAGUCAUCCACCUCUGACACCAGACAGGCUGAUUUUCUUCCUAUGCAUCCCAUCUGGACAUAGUGACUCUUUACUCUGUUCCUGGGACCCUGCCAGGACUGUCUUCCUCUCUCUCACUAGCCAGCAUCAUACCACUUUUUAUAACUCACUCUUUGGAGUAAGUGUUGUGAUACACCCCCUGCUUCCUCCCCUCUGCCCCACAGGCUCACACAGCCCACACUUCCCUCUAUCUCCCUGAAGGCCGCAUGUUCUGUAUGAUUCAGUCAUGUGACUGAAUCACUGACAUAUGAGUGUCAUCCAGUUACCCUAACCUGUUAUCCACUCUGCGCUAUCCUGAAACAUGGAUGUUACCUGGGAGUGUCAGAAAUUGGAAGGUAUCUGGCGUGCAUGGGACCUUUCCUCUUUCUGGCUCCUCCUGAUUUUCUUUGCAGCAGUAAGCAGCUAACGGGCAGCAAGUAACCAUGAGGUUCUGCUCAUGUUAUUUUUCUCUUGGGGUAUAGUAUGAUCUGGCAUAGGUGAUAUUAGACACAGUUGUGGAUGGGGAUGGUUUCUGGCCCCAUUUCACUGUGGUGUUGUAAAAGCAAACCUACAGCCAGAAACAGUCAGCACUGAAGCACACCUUUACUGCACCCCUGCUUUCUAGUUUGAUUGACCAAAGGUUGGACCUCCUUUGAAUGGGCCCAGAUCUCAAGGAUGUAUUGUUCAUUAUCCACUAGGGACUUCUGCCAUUGCAUAGCCGUUAUUGUCUCCCAAGACUGCGGGGAUUUGCUGUAACAUCAAAAAAGUAGAACAACAAACUGAAAGCCAAUAUUUAAAAAGCCAGAUGUUCAGGGCCUCAUGUAAUCGUUGUGCUGAAUUUGGGAGUGUAGUUAGUGACCUACUGCAUAGAAGGCUGAGUAUGUCUAACAAUUUGACUA